AUACUUGCCUGGUGUCGGGAUUACCGUGAUCAACGAGGCGGUGUAUCCAGUGAGAGGCGCGGGCAUUGCACUGAGCUCGUGCUGACUGCUGCCACUACCCCAAUCUGGGGCAGAUGGGGCAUGCAAUUUUUUGGUAGUGGGGGACUGCGUUCGCGCUAUCCCCCU
Small nuclear RNA from Rhipicephalus microplus (southern cattle tick), 165 nucleotides. RefSeq annotates it as U1 spliceosomal RNA. The record is from RefSeq and is a predicted model, not a curated record. Lineage: Eukaryota; Metazoa; Arthropoda; Arachnida; Ixodida; Ixodidae.